Molecule: ribosomal RNA, 274 nt
Filed under: uncultured bacterium
Lineage: Bacteria
Description: partial 16S ribosomal RNA
Rfam family: Bacterial small subunit ribosomal RNA
Source: RNAcentral
AUACGGAGGGUGCAAGCGUUAAUCGGAAUUACUGGGCGUAAAGCGCUCGUAGGCGGCUUGUUAAGUCGGAUGUGAAAGCCCCGGGCUCAACCUGGGAACUGCAUUCGAUACUGGCAAGCUAGAGUAUAGUAGAGGCAAGUGGAAUUCCGGGUGUAGCGGUGAAAUGCGUAGAUAUCCGGAGGAACAUCAGUGGCGAAGGCGACUUGCUGGACUAAUACUGACGCUGAGGAGCGAAAGCGUGGGGAGCAAACGGGAUUAGAAACCCUAGUAGUCC